GAUCCUGGCUCAGGAUGAACGCUAGCGGCAGGCUUAACACAUGCAAGUCGAGGGGCAGCGCGAGUAGCAAUACUUGGCGGCGACCGGCGCAAGGGUGCGUAACGCGUGAGCAACAUGCCCGUAUCAGGGGGAUAAUCCAGGGAAACUUGGUCUAAUACCCCAUAGUAAUUUUGUAAGGCAUCUUAUAAGAUUUAAAGCUUUGGUGGAUACGGAUUGGCUCGCGUGACAUUAGCUGGAUGGUAAGGUAACGGCUUACCAUGGCUAUGAUGUCUAGGGGUUCUGAGAGGAAGGUCCCCCACACUGGAACUGAGACACGGUCCAGACUCCUACGGGAGGCAGCAGUGAGGAAUAUUGGGCAAUGGAUGGAAAUCUGAUCCAGCCAUGCCGCGUGAAGGAAGAAGGUCCUAUGGAUUGUAAACUUCUUUUGUAUGGGAGCAAUAAGGCCUACGAGUAGGUUGAUGAGAGUACCAUACGAAUAAGCACCGGCUAACUCCGUGCCAGCCGCCGC
This 508-nucleotide ribosomal RNA is filed under the name uncultured bacterium. Its description in RNAcentral is "bacterial SSU rRNA". It matches the Rfam family "Bacterial small subunit ribosomal RNA", at positions 15 to 518 of the family's 1533-position model. The record is from RNAcentral.